Molecule: ribosomal RNA, 449 nt
Filed under: uncultured bacterium
Lineage: Bacteria
Description: partial 16S ribosomal RNA
Rfam family: Bacterial small subunit ribosomal RNA
Source: RNAcentral
AGCGAACGCUGGCGGCAGGCUUAACACAUGCAAGUCGAGCGGGCCCUUCGGGGUCAGCGGCGGACGGGUGAGUAACGCGUGGGAACGUGCCCUCUGGUCUGGAAUAACCCUGGGAAACUAGGGCUAAUACCGGAUACGACCUUUUGGGGAAAGGCUUGCUGCCGGAGGAUCGGCCCGCGGCUGAUUAUCUAGUUGGUGGGGUAACGGCCUACCAAGGCGACGAUCAGUAGCUGGUCUGGGAGGAUGAUCAGCCACACUGGGACUGAAACACGGCCCAGACUCCUACGGGAGGCAGCAGUGGGGAAUAUUGGACAAUGGGCGCAAGCCUGAUCCAGCCAUGCCGCGUGAGUGAUGAAGGCCUUAGGGUUGUAAAGCUCUUUUAUCCGGGACGAUAAUGACGGUACCGGAGGAAUAAGCCCCGGCUAACUUCGUGCCAGCCGCCGCCGUAA